UCUUGCAUGUGAAUUUUGGUGCUCGUGCUACGCACGCAUAAGGACUGCGCGAACUUGUCGUCAGAAGCUAACAGAAAUCGCAUCUGAAAUCUACGCGUAAGAAUCACGUACGUUUCGUGUUGCGACCGACAAAAAUCAAUGACGAAAUUACGUUCUUGCUGAAUGCCCGACUAGAACAGAGAAAUUCUGAAACGUAAAAAUAACACCCCCGAAUUUUCUUACACGUGGAAAAUUUGCAUGUUAUAAUUGGGCGUCGUGAUUAAUCGUGGAGUCCGAAACGAGAAAAGACCCGACGAAAAGUUCGGUUGUGCGAAGAAAUCGCCAAAAAUUAAAGACGUACGUGACUUGAUGAAAAUUGAGACCAAUGAAUCCCUCGCUAGUGAGUUUUCAGAAAUACGUUAGCGUGUUAGUGACAGAGUAGAAUCGAUUUUUAAGUGUUUCUGACUCUCUUCGUCUUUUACUUGUCAACGUUCGAAUCGAAAUUAAAAAUACAUAUAUUUAAUGGAAGUGUGUGUAUAUGCAAAAAAGAUAACAAUUAACGUGUGACACAGAGAAAUACAGAUAGUUCAACUGUUGAUAGUUUAUAUACAACUAAUGUGAUUAUAAAAUUUAUAUUAAAUGUAUAAAUAAAAACUAAAAAUCUCAAUCGAAAGUUUCUCAAUUUUCAACUUUCAAGAGCUGCUGAUAGCAUUUUGAAUUGUUUACAUCCGUAAUUGAAAAUAACUUUUGCGUAUAGGAUAAUGUGCAAACAUAGAUAAUCGCAAACUGCUUUAUUAUGCAAAGCUUUUGAAUUUUGAUUGAAAGUAAAAUCUGAUACAAUCUAUUGCAAUGUAAAUAUUUGUAAUUGCAAUUAACACGUUAAGCAUUAAUCAAAGUGCUAAAUGUGUUCGGUAAAGAUACAAUUACUUUGACGGAAGUUAGUGUGCAUGAAGGGUUAAUGGUCUCGUGACCCACCAAUUAGAACAACGGGAGAAGUUAAGCCGAGCAUGAACAAGAAGAGGUUCGACGUUACGACUGUCCGGAAAAUUUUCAUACGGCUUACAUCACGAGAAUUUUGCUUCCUGUGAAUUAACUCCCAGGAGACUACAUAUAUCGAGAAGAAACAGAAGCGUCUAUCGAGGUCUGAAGAGGCCACCGGCUCAAAGGUGAAUUUUCAUUCAGUUGGAGAACAAAGAAAAAUGUCGGCUGAGGUGAGAGCCGGACGACCCACUAUGCCAACGAUUCCUCACUCCAAAAGGCCCACAAUCUUAGUAUAUCCAACAGUAACGCCAGAGAGCAUAAUCAUACCCAUUGUAUCCUGCAUUCUGGGGUUCCCAUUGCUGGCGUUAAUGGUAAUUUGCUGCUUACGAAGGAGAGCGAAACUCGCUAGGGAGCGAGCCCGACGAAGAAACUGCGAUUUGGAUCAUGGCGCGCUGAGCCUUGUCCGUUUCAGCCCGGUUCAUCGUCUGGCUGGAAUAGAUCGUCCGGUACGUGCCGUGUCAUUGAAGAGCGACCGAGGAUCUCGAACUUUUCCAUCCCUAGAGCUGGACACCGUCGUCGAGGAACGUUCAGAUCCCGAACAGAGCACCGCUCUCGAAUUGAGUAGUCCGGAUUAGCAAUCGGCCGUGGCACCGUCAAGGUCUCCACGACCAUCAAAGUCCUUGGCGGUGCCAUUGCCUGUGGAUCACAGUCCUCUGUGGACGGCUUUGACGCACGCUAAUGCAGUCUCCGCAGCGUUAGGAGACACCUAGCAGGAGGUAGAAGACGGCGGCUAUAUCGAAGCUCUCGUCCUAGAUCUGCCAAUCAUUUACU
Pseudomyrmex gracilis is the source of this 1791-nucleotide long non-coding RNA. RefSeq lists it as uncharacterized. The transcript is spliced from 5 exons. The record is from RefSeq and is a predicted model, not a curated record. NCBI's taxonomy places the organism in Eukaryota, Metazoa, Arthropoda, Insecta, Hymenoptera, Formicidae.